UCUUGUGGAAAGCCUGGGAGUUGGGUCUGGGAGGACUCCAGGGGAGAAGCUUGCAAGUCAGGGCUUUGUCCCAGAGAGGCUGAGUCUGUGAAGGGGGAGAAGGCUCCAGGGAAGUAACCUGGCAACUGGGCCUCCAUCCUGGAGACUUAAAGCAUUUAUCCUCUGAAGGAUCCAUGAGAAAGACUUGUCCAUGCCCAUUUGUCCUGCCUUCCAGGAAAAGGCAAUGAAUGCAUAAAUGAUGUUACUCUACAUGCUGGCACUGAACAAACAUGAUAAACUGCUUCUCAAGGUGGAAGCAUUUUGGAUCGCCAUCUCCAGAGCUCUUUUGGGUUUUGGAGUCAUCCAAUCCAGGAGCAGAAACAACACUAUAUGACUUAGGUGGACCAUUACAGUGCGUCAAGUAAAUUGCAUCGCAAACAGGAACAAGAGGGUGGUCUCCUACAAGCCCUGAAACUACGGUACAUCAACUGAAGUCACCAUGUGAUUGAACCCAGCACAAGAAGCUGCAGAGAAUCCUAAACACAACUGAUGCCUGGCCCAGCCAUGUGGAAAGGACUCUUCCCUAGCCCAGGGUUAACAGGAUAAGAAAGAAUAGUGAGAUUUCAUUUCACAGAUUGUAUUUCCUCUUCUAUUCUUUAAUAUAAAUAACUACAGGUUAUCUUGCUGAGUCUACACUCUCUUGAGGAACCUUAAGUAUAACUAUAUUUUAGAUUUUAACUCCUUUAUAAGUCCAAACAAAUUGGCCUAAGAAAGACUGAAAACAAUAACUUUAAGCAAUUGCUUUAAAUAAUCUAAACUAGUCCCUUUUGAACCAAUCUAGUCAAGGAGAAGUAACCACACUCCAAAGUGUACCCUUGGAAGUGUGACAAAUAUGUUAGGUACUAAAGAAUUGAUAAUUGAUUAUCAUAAGUAAAAGUAAUAAAUCUUGGUAAUUUGCAAUUGUUCCUUGGUAUAACUCCUGAGCCUCAAUGCUAGUCU
This is a long non-coding RNA of Mauremys reevesii (Reeves's turtle), 978 nucleotides long. RefSeq lists it as uncharacterized. The transcript has 4 exons. The record is from RefSeq and is a predicted model, not a curated record. Lineage: Eukaryota; Metazoa; Chordata; Testudines; Geoemydidae.